GACGAACGCUGGCGGCGUGCUUAACACAUGCAAGUCGAACGGAAAGGCCCUGCUUUUGUGGGUUGCUCGAGUGGCGAACGGGUGAGUAACACGUGAGUAACCUGCCCUUGACUUUGGGAUAACUUCAGGAAACUGGGGCUAAUACCGGAUAGGAGCUCCUGCUGCAUGGUGGGGGUUGGAAAGUUUCGGCGGUUGGGGAUGGACUCGCGGCUUAUCAGCUUGUUGGUGGGGUAGUGGCUUACCAAGGCUUUGACGGGUAGCCGGCCUGAGAGGGUGACCGGCCACAUUGGGACUGAGAUACGGCCCAGACUCCUACGGGAGGCAGCAGUGGGGAAUAUUGCAAAAUGGGCGGAAGCCUGAUGCAGCAACGCCGCGUGCGGGAUGACGGCCUUCGGGUUGUAAACCGCUUUCGCCUGAGACGAAGCGUGAGUGACGGUAAUGGGUAAAGAAGCACCGGCUAACUACGUG
Molecule: ribosomal RNA, 468 nt
Filed under: uncultured bacterium
Lineage: Bacteria
Description: partial 16S ribosomal RNA
Rfam family: Bacterial small subunit ribosomal RNA
Source: RNAcentral